This 894-nucleotide ribosomal RNA is filed under the name Isochrysis galbana. Its description in RNAcentral is "partial Bacterial large subunit ribosomal RNA". It matches the Rfam family "Bacterial large subunit ribosomal RNA", at positions 3 to 852 of the family's 2925-position model. Lineage: Eukaryota; Haptophyta; Isochrysidales; Isochrysidaceae. The record is from RNAcentral.
UCAAGUUUCUAAGAGCAAACGGUGGAUGCCUUGGCAUCUGGAGCCGAAGAAGGACGUAGCAAUCUGCGAUAAGCCUCGGGGAGCCGAUAAGCGGGCUUUAAUCCGAGGAUUUCCGAAUGGGGAAACCCAGCUGGGCGCCUUUGGUGACCCAGUUACUCCAGUCUGAAUACAUAGGGCUGGAGAGGGAACGUGGGGAAGUGAAACAUCUCAGUACCCACAGGAAGAGAAAACAACAGUGAUUCCGUUAGUAGUGGCGAGCGAACGCGGAAGAGGCUAAACCGGUCGUGUGUGAUAGGCGGUAGCUGUUGCACGGUCGGUGUUGUGGGACUCUCAUGGUCUUCUACCGGAGACCGCAUGGACUCGCGCACGUAUAGACGAAUGGCAUUGAAAGGCCAGCCACAGCGGGUGCCAGCCCCGUAGUCGAAAUGCGUACCGGACGUGGAGAGGAUCCCAAGUAGCACGGGGCCCGAGAAAUCCCGUGUGAAUCUGCCAGGACCACCUGGUAAGCCUAAAUACUCCCAGAUGACCGAUAGCGGACAAGUACCGUGAGGGAAAGGUGAAAAGUACCCCGGGAGGGGAGUGAAAUAGUACCUGAAACCGUUUGCUUACAAACCGUUGGAGCCUCCUUGUUGGGGUGACAGCGUGCCUUUUGAAGAAUGAGCCUGCGAGUUAGCGAUAUGUGGCGAGGUUAACCCGAGAGGGGUAGCCGUAGCGAAAGCGAGUCUGAAUAGGGCGAUUCAGUCGCAUGUCCUAGACCCGAAGCGAAGUGAUCUAUCCAUGGCCAGGUUGAAGCGACGGUAAGACGUCGUGGAGGACCGAACCCACUUAGGUUAAAAACUGAGGGGAUGAGCUGUGGAUAGGGGUGAAAGGCCAAUCAAACUUCGUGAUAGCUGG